GAUGAACGCUGGCGGCGUGCCUAAUACAUGCCAGUCGAGCGAACAGACGAGGAGCUUGCUCCUCUGACGUUAGCGGCGGACGGGUGAGUAACACGUGGAUAACCUACCUAUAAGACUGGGAUAACUUCGGGAAACCGGAGCUAAUACCGGAUAAUAUAUUGAACCGCAUGGUUCAAUAGUGAAAGACGGUUUUGCUGUCACUUAUAGAUGGAUCCGCGCCGCAUUAGCUAGUUGGUAAGGUAACGGCUUACCAAGGCAACGAUGCGUAGCCGACCUGAGAGGGUGAUCGGCCACACUGGAACUGAGACACGGUCCAGACUCCUACGGGGGGCAGCAGUAGGGAAUCUUCCGCAAUGGGCGAAAGCCUGACGGAGCAACGCCGCGUGAGUGAUGAAGGUCUUCGGAUCGUAAAACUCUGUUAUUAGGGAAGAACAAAUGUGUAAGUAACUAUGCACGUCUUGACGGUACCUAAUCAGAAAGCCACGGCUAACCACGUG
RNAcentral lists this ribosomal RNA (497 nucleotides) under uncultured bacterium. RNAcentral's name for it is "partial 16S ribosomal RNA". It matches the Rfam family "Bacterial small subunit ribosomal RNA", at positions 28 to 507 of the family's 1533-position model. The record is from RNAcentral.